CGCGGGAAGCAAGCGGAUCCCCUUCGGGGGUGACGCUUGUGGAACGAGCGGCGGACGGGUGAGUAACACGUGGGCAACCUGCCUGUAAGACUGGGAUAACCCCGGGAAACCGGGGCUAAUACCGGAUAACACCGGACUCCACAUGGAGUCGGGUUGAAAGAUGGCUUCUCGCUAUCACUUACAGAUGGGCCCGCGGCGCAUUAGCUAGUUGGUGAGGUAACGGCUCACCAAGGCGACGAUGCGUAGCCGACCUGAGAGGGUGAUCGGCCACACUGGGACUGAGACACGGCCCAGACUCCUACGGGAGGCAGCAGUAGGGAAUCUUCCGCAAUGGACGAAAGUCUGACGGAGCAACGCCGCGUGAACGAUGAAGGUCUUCGGAUCGUAAAGUUCUGUUGUCAGGGAAGAACAAGUGCCGUGCGAAUAGAGCGGCACCUUGACGGUACCUGACGAGGAAGCCCCGGCUAACUACGUGCCAGCAGCCGCGGUAAUACGUAGGGGGCAAGCGUUGUCCGGAAUUAUUGGGCGUAAAGCGCGCGCAGGCGGUUCCUUAAGUCUGAUGUGAAAGCCCACGGCUCAACCGUGGAGGGUCAUUGGAAACUGGGGAACUUGAGUGCAGAGAAGGAGAGUGGAAUUCCACGUGUAGCGGUGAAAUGCGUAGAUAUGUGGAGGAACACCAGUGGCGAAGGCGACUCUCUGGUCUGUAACUGACGCUGAGGCGCGAAAGCGUGGGGAGCAAACAGAUA
RNAcentral lists this ribosomal RNA (746 nucleotides) under bacterium VI.15. RNAcentral describes it as "bacterial SSU rRNA". It matches the Rfam family "Bacterial small subunit ribosomal RNA", at positions 52 to 778 of the family's 1533-position model. The record is from RNAcentral.